GAUGAACGCUGGCGGCGUGCCUAAUACAUGCAAGUCGAGCGAACAGACGAGAGUGCUUGCACUCUCUGACGUUAGCGGCGGACGGGUGAGUAACACGUGGGUAACCUACCUAUAAGACUGGGAUAACUUCGGGAAACCGGAGCUAAUACCGGAUAAUAUUUAGCUUCGCAUGAAGCAAUAGUGAAAGACGGUUCUGCUGUCACUUAUAGAUGGACCCGCGGUGUAUUAGCUAGUUGGUGAGGUAACGGCUCACCAAGGCAACGAUACAUAGCCGACCUGAGAGGGUGAUCGGCCACACUGGGACUGAGACACGGCCUAGACUCCUACGGGAGGCAGCAGUAGGGAAUCUUCCGCAAUGGACGAAAGUCUGACGGAGCAAUGCCGCGUGAGUGAAGAAGGUUUUCGGAUCGUAAAACUCUGUUGUAAGGGAAGAACAAGUACGUUAGUAACUGAACGUACCUUGACGGUACCUUACCAGAAAGCCACGGCUAACUACGUG
Molecule: ribosomal RNA, 499 nt
Filed under: uncultured bacterium
Lineage: Bacteria
Description: partial 16S ribosomal RNA
Rfam family: Bacterial small subunit ribosomal RNA
Source: RNAcentral